GACGAACGCUGGCGGCGUGCUUAACACAUGCAAGUCGAACGGAAAGGCCCUGCUUUUGUGGGGUGCUCGAGUGGCGAACGGGUGAGUAACACGUGAGUAACCUGCCCUUGACUUUGGGAUAACUUCAGGAAACUGGGGCUAAUACCGGAUAGGAGCUCCUGCUGCAUGGUGGGGGUUGGAAAGUUUCGGCGGUUGGGGAUGGACUCGCGGCUUAUCAGCUUGAUGGUGGGGUAGUGGCUUACCAAGGCUUUGACGGGUAGCCGGCCUGAGAGGGUGAACGGCCACAUUGGGACUGAGAUACGGCGCAGACUCCUACGGGAGGCAGCAGUGGGGAAUCUUGCACAAUGGGCGGAAGCCUGAUGCGGCAACGCCGCGUGCGGGAUGACGGCUUUCGGGUUGUAAACCGCUUUCGCCUGUGACGAAGCGUGAGUGACGGUAAUGGGUAAAGAAGCACCGGCUAACUACGUG
RNAcentral lists this ribosomal RNA (468 nucleotides) under uncultured bacterium. RNAcentral's name for it is "partial 16S ribosomal RNA". It matches the Rfam family "Bacterial small subunit ribosomal RNA", at positions 28 to 507 of the family's 1533-position model. The record is from RNAcentral.